RNAcentral lists this ribosomal RNA (503 nucleotides) under Aspergillus sp. 72a. RNAcentral's name for it is "partial 18S ribosomal RNA". The stretch from base 176 to 329 matches the Rfam family "5.8S ribosomal RNA". The record is from RNAcentral. Lineage: Eukaryota; Fungi; Ascomycota; Eurotiomycetes; Eurotiales; Aspergillaceae.
ACCUGCGGAAGGAUCAUUACCGAGUGCGGGCUGCCUCCGGGCGCCCAACCUCCCACCCGUGACUACCUAACACUGUUGCUUCGGCGGGGAGCCCUCUCGGGGGCGAGCCGCCGGGGACUACUGAACUUCAUGCCUGAGAGUGAUGCAGUCUGAGUCUGAAUAUAAAAUCAGUCAAAACUUUCAACAAUGGAUCUCUUGGUUCCGGCAUCGAUGAAGAACGCAGCGAACUGCGAUAAGUAAUGUGAAUUGCAGAAUUCAGUGAAUCAUCGAGUCUUUGAACGCACAUUGCGCCCCCUGGCAUUCCGGGGGGCAUGCCUGUCCGAGCGUCAUUGCUGCCCAUCAAGCCCGGCUUGUGUGUUGGGUCGUCGUCCCCCCCGGGGGACGGGCCCGAAAGGCAGCGGCGGCACCGUGUCCGGUCCUCGAGCGUAUGGGGCUUUGUCACCCGCUCGAUUAGGGCCGGCCGGGCGCCAGCCGACGUCUCCAACCAUUCUUCAGGUGACCUC